GUUACCGGUGGGGCAUGGGUGUCGUCAGCUCGCGUCGUGAGAUGUUGGGUUAAUUCCCGCAACGAGCGCAACCCUUGUUCUUUGUUGCCAGCACGUGAUGGUGGGGACUCAUAGGAAACUGCCGGGGUCAACUCGGAGGAAGGUGGGGACGACGUCAAAUCAUCAUGCCCCUUAUGUCUUGGGCUUCACCCAUGCUACAAUGGCCGGUACAAAGGGUUGCGAUACUGUGAGGUGGAGCUAAUCCCAAAAAACCGGUCUCAGUUCGGAUUGGGGUCUGCAACUCCACCCCAUGAAGUCGGAGUCGCUAGUAAUCACAAAUCAGCAACGCUGCGGUGAAUACCUUCCCGGGUCUUGUACACACCG
This 363-nucleotide ribosomal RNA is filed under the name uncultured soil bacterium. RNAcentral's name for it is "bacterial SSU rRNA". It matches the Rfam family "Bacterial small subunit ribosomal RNA", at positions 1031 to 1392 of the family's 1533-position model. The record is from RNAcentral.